CGAUGAACGCUGGCGGUAUGCUUAACACAUGCAAGUCGAACGGACUCUUAGGAGUUAGUGGCGGACGGGUGAGUAACGCGUGAGAAUUUGGCUUCAGGUCGGGGACAACAGUUGGAAACGACUGCUAAUACCGGAUGUGCCGGAAGGUGAAAGAUUUAUCGCCUGAAGAUAAGCUCGCGUCUGAUUAGCUAGUUGGUGGUGUAAGGGACUACCAAGGCGACGAUCAGUAGCUGGUCUGAGAGGAUGAUCAGCCACACUGGGACUGAGACACGGCCCAGACUCCUACGGGAGGCAGCAGUGGGGAAUUUUCCGCAAUGGGCGAAAGCCUGACGGAGCAAUACCGCGUGAGGGAGGAAGGCUCUUGGGUCGUAAACCUCUUUUCUCAAGGAAGAAGAAAGUGACGGUACUUGAGGAAUAAGCAUCGGCUAACUCCGUGCCAGCAGCCGCGGUAAUACGGAGGAUGCAAGCGUUAUCCGGAAUGAUUGGGCGUAAAGGGUCUGUAGGUGGUACUGAAAGUCUGCUGUUAAAGAGCAAGGCUCAACCUUGUAAGAGCAGUGGAAACUACAGAACUAGAGUGCGGUAGGGGCAAAAGGAAUUCCUGGUGUAGCGGUGAAAUGCGUAGAUAUCAGGAAGAACACCGGUGGCGAAAGCGUUUUGCUAGACCGCAACUGACACUGAGGGACGAAAGCUAGGGGAGCGAAUGGGAUUAGA
RNAcentral lists this ribosomal RNA (711 nucleotides) under Sphaerospermopsis aphanizomenoides UADFA13. RNAcentral's name for it is "bacterial SSU rRNA". It matches the Rfam family "Bacterial small subunit ribosomal RNA", at positions 26 to 782 of the family's 1533-position model. Lineage: Bacteria; Bacillati; Cyanobacteriota; Cyanophyceae; Nostocales; Aphanizomenonaceae. The record is from RNAcentral.